RNAcentral lists this ribosomal RNA (763 nucleotides) under Pseudoalteromonas sp. RNAcentral describes it as "bacterial SSU rRNA". It matches the Rfam family "Bacterial small subunit ribosomal RNA", at positions 38 to 797 of the family's 1533-position model. The record is from RNAcentral. Lineage: Bacteria; Pseudomonadati; Pseudomonadota; Gammaproteobacteria; Alteromonadales; Pseudoalteromonadaceae.
AGCGGAUGGCGGAGCUACCAUGCAGUCGAGCGGUAACAUAUAGAGCUUGCUACUUUGCUGACGAGCGGCGGACGGGUGAGUAGUGCUUGGGAACGUGCCUUGGGGGGGGGGACAACAGUUGGAAACCACUGCUAAUACCGCAUAGUGUCUACAGACCAAGGGGGUCUUCCUCUCUCCCCUUUAUAUUGGCCCAAGUGGGAUUAUCUAUUUGGUGAGGUAGUGGCUCCCCAGGGCCACUAUCCCUAUGUGGUUUGAGAGGAUGAUCCCCCACUGUGGGACUGACACACGGCCCACACUCCUACGGGAGGCAGCAGUGGGGAAUAUUGCACAGUGGGCGCACCCCUGAUGCACCCAUGCCGUGUGUGUGAAGAACGCCUUCGGGUUGUAAAGCUCUUUCACUCAAGAAGAAAGGUUAAUAGUUAAUACCUGCUAUCUGUGACGUUACUGACAAAAAAAGCACCGUCUAUCUCCGUGCCAACACCCGCGGUAAUACAGAGGGUGAGAGCGUUAAUCAGAAUUACUGGGCGUAAAGCGCACACACGCGUUUUGUUAAGAGAGAUGUGAAACCCCCGCGCUCCACCUGAGAACUGCUUUUCAAACUGGCAAACUAGAGUGUGAUAGAGGGUGGUAGAAUUUCGUGUGUAGCGGUGAUAUGCAUAGAGAUCUAAAAGAAUACCGAUGGAGAACGCACCCCCGUGUGUCAACUCUGACUCUCAUGUACAAGAGCGUGGAGAGCACACAAGAUUAUAUACCCUGGGUCACA